Molecule: small nucleolar RNA, 132 nt
Filed under: Dasypus novemcinctus (nine-banded armadillo)
Lineage: Eukaryota; Metazoa; Chordata; Mammalia; Cingulata; Dasypodidae
Description: Small nucleolar RNA SNORA38 (ENSDNOG00000033737.1)
Rfam family: Small nucleolar RNA SNORA38
About the family: ACA38 is a member of the H/ACA class of snoRNA that guide the sites of modification of uridines to pseudouridines.
Source: RNAcentral
UCCUCCUACAAAGGCGUGUUGGUGGUUUCCUGUCCUUGGACAUGUAAGAUUUGGAGGCAAAAAGAUGUGGACUUGGAGAAGUCUAGAGUCUACUUGCUCUCUGCAGGCUCAAGAUCAUCCUUUCCCACACAG